Molecule: long non-coding RNA, 459 nt
Filed under: Elaeis guineensis (African oil palm)
Lineage: Eukaryota; Viridiplantae; Streptophyta; Magnoliopsida; Arecales; Arecaceae
Description: long non-coding RNA (EGUI_LNC053322)
Source: RNAcentral
GGUGCCUUGUGUAUGUGGAUCUAUGCUUUGGUUCAUACCUUAACAUGACUCUAUGAGAUAUGUGUGGGAUAUUCUGGGUAUAGUGAAGUAUGCAUAGAAAUUGUGAGUAGUCAAUAAAAAAUCAAUCACUCCUUAUAAGAGGAGAGAACAUCAUAUGUGAUCUCAUAGGAUAAUGACUCAAAAAGUCUUUAGCCAAAGCAGGAGGAACAUUAAAAAGAGUUUUUAAUAGUUCAUCAAUCAAGUCAUCAUCAUUAGAUUGAGAUAUAUAAAUAAAUUAAAAAAAAUCAAUUAUGCAUCCAUGUUGAAAGAAAAAAAAAGUUUGUUUCUUUGGAGAAAUGCAGUGGCUAGUCAGGGUGCAUCUAAAAAUUUUUUAUAAUAACUUGAUAGAAAUCAGAUCUUUAUCUGAUAUGUAGGAGAAUUUAAAUUAAAUUCUUUAAAUUUUGAAUAUAAAACCUCGCA